GGGGAAUCUUGCACAAUGGGGGAAACCCUGAUGCAGCGACGCCGCGUGAACGAUGAAGCCCUUCGGGGUGUAAAGUUCUUUCGACAGGAACGAUAAUGACGGUACCUGGAGAAGAAGCUGCGGCUAACUACGUGCCAGCAGCCGCGGUAAUACGUAGGCAGCGAGCGGUGUUCGGAGUUACUGGGCGUAAAGAGUGCGUAGGCGGCGAGCCAAGUUUGGUGUGAAAUCUCCCGGCUUAACCGGGAGGGUGCGCCGAAAACUGGUUGGCUGGAGUAUGGGAGAGGAAAGCGGAAUUCCUGGUGUGGCGGUGAAAGGCGUAGAUAUCAGGAGGAACACCUGCGGUGUAGACAGCUUUCUGGACCAAAACUGACGCAGAGGCACGAAAGCGUGGGUAGCAAACA
Molecule: ribosomal RNA, 401 nt
Filed under: uncultured bacterium
Lineage: Bacteria
Description: bacterial SSU rRNA
Rfam family: Bacterial small subunit ribosomal RNA
Source: RNAcentral